This 2896-nucleotide long non-coding RNA is filed under the name Sus scrofa (pig). RNAcentral describes it as "lncRNA (ENSSSCG00015043196.1)". Lineage: Eukaryota; Metazoa; Chordata; Mammalia; Artiodactyla; Suidae. The record is from RNAcentral.
AGGAGUUCCCAUUGUGGCACAGUGGUUAACAAAUCCGACUAGGAACCAUGAGGUUGCGGGUUCAAUCCCUAGCCUUGCUCAGUGGGAUAAGGAUCUGGAGUCGCCGUGAGCUGUGGUGUAGGUCGCAGACGCUGCUCAGAUCCCAAGUUACUGUGACUCUGGCGUGGGGCGGUGGCUACAGCUCCGAUUAGACCCCUAGCCUGGGAACCUCCACAUGCCGUGGGAGCGGCCUAUAGAAAAGGCAAAACAACAACAAAAAAUUCCCCCCCUCCUUUUUUUAAAUACUAUAAGGAACAUUUUUUUUUUUUUUCCUGAACCAUUUGAUGACACAAUCCUCAUUAUCCCUGAAUUCCUUGGGGCAUUUUUACUAAAAACAAGGACAUUUUCCCACAUAGCUACUCUACAACCACCACAAUCUGGAAAUUAGCAUUGAUACAUUAUUCUAUUAUGAAAUCACAGACCUCAAUUCAAGUGUCAUCGAUUUCCCAAUAAUAUCCUAUAUUGCAAAGAAUUCAAUCCAGGGUAAUAAUAUUUCAUUUAAUUGCUAUGUCUCUUUAGUUUCUUCUAAUCUGGAAUAAGUCCACAGUCUUUUAUUUUCAUGGCCUUGACACAUGGCCUUAACAAGCAUAUGCUAGUAUUUUGUAUACUGUUCCUCAAAUUAGGAUGGUCCAAUGAUUAUUCAUGAUUAGAUUUGCGUUACAAGGCUCUGGCAGGAUUAUCACAGAAGUGAUGAUGUAUUUUCCUCAUGUACGCUACAUGAUUUUGUUUCAUCCCAUUACUAGUGAUGUUAACUGAUGGUAAUUAAAAUUAUUUCUGUUUUAUAAAGUUACUCAUUUUCCCUUUGUAAUUAAUAACUAUUGGUAGGAAAAUUCUUUUGAGACUGUAUGAACAAUCCUUAUUUUUCCACUUUCACUACAUAGUUUUAGCAUCCAUUAGUAUUUCUCAACUAUAUUAAUUCUCACCACGAUUGUUACCAGCUGGUAAGUUUUCAAUCCAACAUUUCUUAUGUGUUUAUUAGCUGACAUUCUACUAAGGAAAAUCUUUCUCUUCUCCCCUUUUAUAUACUUGCUUAUAUAAAUAUAACAUAAUUCCUAUUUCAUUUGGUGGAUUCUAUUUUGAUGCUAUGACAUUUUGCUAUUCAGAUUUGGCCAGUGAGCAUCCCUUCAAGCUUGAUUCUGUGUGUUUCCAACAUUCUCCAGUAUUUUUAGAACAUUUCCUUAAUCUGACACAGCCAAAUAUUCCAGGUUCCAGGCCUUUUGUACUUUCUCUCCAAGGAGUCCUACUUUUAUUUAGUGGGAAAAGAAAUUUAGAAACCAAAAUCUGGAUAUUAGGUAUGUACAAUGCUAUUAGGGUAUUACUGCUCCUAGGCCCUUUCCAUGGUCAAAAACAGAGAAUGUAUGUGUAUUCACACACAUACAAACACACACUUACAUAUGCAAUUCAUUCUAGUAUUUUCUCUUUCCAUAUUUAUAAGUCCUUCUACAAAAGUGAAAAACUACAAUAAUUUUUUUUUAAAAAAACAUUAUUUUCAGGAGUUCCCGUCGUGGCGCAGUGGUUAACAAAUCCGACUAGGAACCAUGAGGUUGUGGGUUCGGUCCCUGCCCUUGCUCAGUGGGUUAACGAUCCGGCGUUGCCGUGAGCUGUGGUGUAGGUUGCAGACACGGCUUGGAUCCCAUGUUGCUGUGGCUCUGGCAUAGACUGGCAGCUACAGCUCUGAUUAGGCCCCUAGCCUGGGAAACUCCAUAUGCCUCGGGAGCGGCCCAAGAAAUGGCAAAAAAACAAAAAGACAAAAAAAAAAAAAAACAAAACAAUUUAAAAAAACAUUAUUUUCAAUAAUUUCUUAUUUUGUCAGUCCCACUGCACAAAACCAAACUCCCAUUGCCACCGCCUUACCCCACUUGGGCUCCAACAUUCCACUUCUGAUCACUGCCAUUUCCAUCCCAUGCACAGAUACCCUCCUCAUAACUCACAGGCUCCUAAUCCUUUUGUGGGUUACCACUCACCUGCUCGAAUUCUAUUACUCUUCAGUAGGCUACCACUGCUAUCCUCCACGAUUUGCCUGCCUCACAUAGAUUGGACUCUAACAACCAACAGUGGAAGUGGACACCCCCUCCAUCUACUCAAUCACCAACUACCCUUGCUCAUGCUCUUAUAUCAAUAGUUCAGUCUAAAUUGACACCCUCCUCACUAUUGUCAGACUCCGACAAUCUGUACCAAGAUUCUUAUGCUGGGGAUGGGGAGAGAAGCGGGGGACAUUACCUAGCUUCAUCCCUUUUAUAAAAAUCAAAGUAUAGUUGAUUUACCAUGUUUCAGGGGUACAGUAAUUUGAUUCAUUCUAUAUAUGCAUAUUUAUCCUUUUUCAGAUUCUUUCUCAUUACAGGUUAUUACAAGAUAUUGAAUACAGUUUUCUGUGCCAUCGAGUAGGUUUUCAUUGUUUAUUUUAUAUAUAGAGGGGUGUAUCCUCUCUGGUGGCUGGGUCUAAUCAGAGCUAGAGCUGCUGGCCUAUACCACAGCCACAGCAAGCCAGAUCCGAGCUGCCUCUGAGACCUACACCACAGAUCACGGCAACACUGCAUCCCUAACCCACUGAGCAAGGCCAGGGAUCAAACAUGAACCUCAUGGUUCCUAGUCAGAUUUGUUGAUGCUGAACCACAACAGGAACUCCCAAAUAAUUUUUUGUUGUUCUAGUUUUACUUGUCACCAUCGGCAGCACUUUACCAGCAUAAAUCAGGCAAUCCUCACACACAGGUUAAAUAUUCACAGGGCACAUUUUGAAACAUUCACCAGUUGAUUUAGAGCCCAGUCCACUAAAACCUGAGGUCAAAUAAGGAGUCCCAGAUCACAUAAUGUUUCCACAUAGAGCCUACUGGAGAUCUUAGAGCCAGGUUGCUGGAUG